CUGGACUGGAAUAUAUCAGGCCCAGAGAAAACAAACAUGGCCACCUACAGAAAAACAGUGGAGUAGAGGCUCAAACAGCUUGUCAAGAAGCUCCCUGUUACGGAAGACAAGCCUAUGGACUCUCCUUCCUUAAGCUAAUCCAGUUCUGUACAUGUAUAAAUCAAGACAUCACUGUCUGCAGCUAUGGAAACUCACACUGGAAACUUGCAAGGAUGUUGCUAUCUGAACAAAACUGAGAUGCAUAAAAAUAAUGGCUUCUGAAAGCCUCUUUAUCUAACACAGUGUCUUGAAAGGUCAAUGGUGUGCUUCCAGAUGAAUGAUGAAUUUGAGCUUCGUCAUACCCAUUGCUUCAUACUGGCAAGUACUGGAUGGGGUAGUGAAAGGACAGCCUGGUGUGCAGGCAGCCAAGCCUCCAGGCAGAGGUGUCCGUCCCUGAGCUAGAGCACUGGUUUCUUCACCUGACCUUCUGCCCUUUCAAUCGCAUAGAACUAAAUCUCACUUUUCAA
Mustela erminea (ermine) is the source of this 506-nucleotide long non-coding RNA. RefSeq lists it as uncharacterized. NCBI's taxonomy places the organism in Eukaryota, Metazoa, Chordata, Mammalia, Carnivora, Mustelidae. The transcript is spliced from 3 exons. The record is from RefSeq and is a predicted model, not a curated record.